GAAUUACUCCAUAAAUUAUUCCAGGAAUUUCUCCACAAAUUACUUCACGUACUACUCCAGGAGUUCCUCCAGGAAUUUCUCCGGAAAUUCCUCAAGAAAUACCUCCAGAAAUUCCAUCAGGUAUUUUUCCACGAAGUCUUCUUGGAAAUACUCCAGGCAUAACUCCAAGAAUUUCUCCGUGAGUUACUCCAGAUAUUCCUACAGGAUUCUUACAGGUGUUUAUCCAGGAACUACUGCAAGAUGUCCUUCAAUUUUUUUCUAGGAAUUCCUCCAGUGAUUCCUUCAUGAAUUUCUCCAGUAAAUGCUUUAGAAAAUUCUUUAGAGAUUCCUUCAGAAUUCCUUCAUGAAUUUCCUCCAGGAAAUCGUCUAGAUAUUUCGCUUGUGAUUCCUUUAAUCAAUCUUCUAGGGAUUCCUCCAGGAAUUCCAACAGAAUAUCCACCAGAAAUUCCUCCAGGCAUUCCUCCAGAAAACACUCCAGUAAUUCAUCUAAGAAUUUCGCCAGUGAUUUCUUCAAUAAAUCUUCUAGGGAUCUCUCCAGCAAUUUCUACAGAAUAUCCACCAGAAAUUCAUCCAGGCAUUCCUCCAGAAAUUUUUCCAGGAAGUACUCCAUGAAUUCCUCCAGGAAUUCCACAAGGAAUAACUCCAGGAAUUCAUCCACGAACUUUUCCAGAAGUUCCUCCAGGAAUUCCUCCGAAAAUUCCUCCAAGAAUUCCAUCAGGAAUUCUUCCAUAAAGUCUUCCAGGAAAUACUCCAUUAAUUGCUCCAAGAAUUGCUUCAGGAAUAACUCUAGGAAAUCCUCCAGGAAUUGCUCCAGGAAUCACUUCAGGGAUUCCUACGGGAAUUUUUCCAGAAACUACUUCAGAAUGUCCUCAAAAAAAAUCCUCCAUGAAUUCUACAAGAAAAUACUUACGGGAUUCCUCCAAGAAUGACUUCAAGAAUUCCUCCCGGAAACAAUUCAAAAAAUUUACCAUAAUUUCUCUUUAAAUUACUCCAGGAAUUCGUCAAAAAAAAUCUCUCUGGAAUUUUUCCAGAAUUGCUCCCAGAAUUCCUUUUAGAAAUACCUCAAGGAAAUGCUUCAAGAAUUUCUUCAGAAAUUCUUUAAAGAGCUGCUCCAGAAGUGGCUCCACUCUUUUAGGAAUUCCUUCACGAAUUAUUUCAGGGAUUCCUCCAGAUAUUGCAUACGAAUAUCUCCAGGAAUUCGUCCUACAAUUCUUCCCGAUAUUUCUUAAGGUUUUAUUUUUGAAAUUCUUCAAGAAUUUUUCCAGACAUUCCUCUCAGAAACACUCUAAAAAUUUCUCCAUGAAUUACUUCAAGGCUUACUCCAAAAAUUAUUCCAGAAUCUACUCAAGGAAUUACUCCAGGAUUUUCUGUCUCUAGAAUUUCCUCCAAGAAUUCCUUCGACUAAUCUUCCAGUAAUCACUCCAGUAAUUCCUCUAGGAAUUCUCCCACGAAGUCCUUCGGAGUUUCUUUCAGGAAUUACUCCCUGGAAGAUUCCCGGGUGGCAUCCUUGGAGGAAUUCUUAAAAUAAUCCCUGGAGGAAUUUUUGAAGACAUACCUGGAGGGAGUCCUGGGAGAAUUCCUGGGGGAUUUCCUUGGAGAAAUUUCAUUAGGAAUCCCUAGAGGAAUAUUUGUGGUAAGCCUUGUAGCGGCCAUGGGCCCGCUCGGAGUCUGCUUCUUGUUUCCGGCCCGGAUUUUUAAACAAGUGGCUUAAGCGCCACCUCCUAGGAGGACCACCCGUCGUUUUCUACGAUGCCCGGCUAGAUACUGACCGAAGAGUCAGCUUCGGAAUAAUCAACAAUGCGCGGGAACAAGCGAGCAGACUCAUCAUACAAGGACUCUACUUCAAUAGCGGAAGCCACACAGACAUAACCAACAAAUUCCCCCAAACGACCGAUAUCCCAGAACUCGACCUUAUCCUGUUCUCAUCACGGGCAAAGACUCCCCAACCACUUCAAUCCCAUUCCGUUUUGGAAGAUGGAUGUUACAACAAGACGGACCAAAAAAAAUAAGGAACGAAACGUGAAAUGUACUUGAACUUUCUUAACGAUCACUAACUAACACAUGUUUUUUCUUAGGGAAACAAGGACUAUAUAUUCAACAUUUAUUCAAUUUGAUAACCUAGGAUAAUCAUGGCCUGAAUCAAUUUGAUAACCUAUGCAUUUCUACGGUCGCGUCCGACCGGCCUUCCUUCUUCUUCCCCUUUCCAAACUAUGGCCCUAUCUUGUGCGGUUGUGGUCUACGCUAGCGCUUUUGUGUGUGUAGGUGCUAAUUCACUUGCAUGCAAAAUUUAGUGGAACGUACUCACGAGCUUUCGAUCGGGUGCUUUCUACGACGACGCCGAUGACGUUGACGAUAGUGUCGACGAUUGGUAGAUCGGUACCUCUACGGUGAAUUCGAUUCACGGCCACGCACGAGCUUCGUGAAGUGUUUCUCGUGCUCGUGACCAAACGAGCGGACGAUUGGCGAAUGUCGCUUGCCUUCGGAGUGCGUUGGUGACGUUCGCGACUCCCUUCCGGCCUGGAAUCGCCGGGCAAACUUUGGCCCCAGGACGCAGGGUGGAUGCGCGACGUAAGGUGGUGGGCGAGACGCUCUCGUUCUUCGCUUUGUGCGAUGUACGUGCUAUUUUUGGAGUAGAGGUAUAGCCGUCGCUCGCGCUUGGCUAGAUGACACAAUUAGCACAUAAAAUACCACACAACACAAGUCGUUUACCUUUGAACUUGGUACUCGGGUUCAACACGCACAAUUCACCGCACAACCUAGCUAUUGAACUUUUGGCCUAAACGGGGAUACACAGAGACAAUUAAUACUCGUUGAAGUACUCUUCACGUUUAAGUUAACUCACAAAAUCACACCACGGGAAAGACACUACUUCGAUCUGGGACAAAGUGGACGAGAAUAUCUUUGUGAUUCCUCAGAUAGGAUCUCACGGUAUGGUUCCCGGAAAUGGAAGCCCGAAGGUCUCCGUUGAUCAGGUCUGUAUGAUUUCGGAUAAAGAAAUCUCCCUUGCCUUUGAAUUGUCUUUUCAUCUCAUUCCGUUACAAAGUCAACUAUUCAGAAGCUAACUACUUCGGGGUUCUCUAACAAGGUAACGAGAGCACGAACAGUGAUACUCAUUACAGCGUGUGCUUGCGUAGCGGAUAACCUAUCUACGCUUCAGGAAAUUGUAUGCAAUUGUUGGUAUCAUUUUGAUUCAGCUAAUGUCCAUGCUAUUUUGAUGCUAAAUCUUUUAUUUAUCAAAUUUUAUACAUUUAACGUGAAUUCUAAUUAUUGAACAAUGAAUUAAAUAAGAAUAUAACAAAUAAACAAAUAACGAAA
Aedes albopictus (Asian tiger mosquito) is the source of this 3315-nucleotide long non-coding RNA. RefSeq lists it as uncharacterized. The record is from RefSeq and is a predicted model, not a curated record. The transcript is spliced from 2 exons. NCBI's taxonomy places the organism in Eukaryota, Metazoa, Arthropoda, Insecta, Diptera, Culicidae.